CUUCGAUUUCACGCUGCAAAGCUUCGCAAUCCUCCAUGGUAUGCCCAUGAUCUUGGUGAAAUUCACAAUACUUGUUCCUAUCUCUCGUGUCAGGGGGCGACUUCAUUCUUGAAAACUUUAAUUAUUUCAUAUCUUUGAUUCGCAUUAAGAUGUUUGCCUUGGAGGUGUUUAAUCGGGUGAGGGGCCCUGGUGGACUUUCAUUCUUGCGUUUUUCCCGAGGAUACUCUGGCCAGGAGACGGGAUCAUGUUGCUUCCUGUUCUCGGCCUUUUCAUGGAGAGGACCAGGUCUCCUGGGAUUCAGUGUUUCCUCCAUAUUUAUGUACUUUUCAGCUUGGGUGAGAAGCUCGGUCAGUGUCUGUGACGGGGUCUUUGAUAAGGACAUCUUGAAAGCAUCACAUCUUAUGGCGUAAGUGAGGGCGGAGACAACCGCUGUGAUGUGAAGGUCGAGUAUUUGACGUCUUUCUUUGUUAAACCUCGUCAUAAAUCCUCGUAGGGUUUUACUUGGUCCCUGGAGAAGUUGCAUGAGAGAGGUCGCAGUCUUUCUGAUUCGCUUGCUACUUACAAAGAAGGCUGAGAACUUAUCAGCCAAAUCUGAGAAUGAGGCUAUGGAGUUGGGCUCCAAUGUCGAGAACCAAUCCCUAGCAGCAUUAGUCAACGUUUGCAGGAAGGCUUUGCACAUAACCUGAUCCGGUGCAACUUGCAAAUUCAUGACGUCAGUGUAUAUUUUAAGAUGGUUGAUUGGGUCGAUCAUCCCAUCAUACUUUUUGAUUCGAGGAUAUUUGAAUUUGUC
This 790-nucleotide long non-coding RNA is filed under the name Olea europaea subsp. europaea. Lineage: Eukaryota; Viridiplantae; Streptophyta; Magnoliopsida; Lamiales; Oleaceae. The record is from RNAcentral.